Long non-coding RNA from Dendronephthya gigantea, 1485 nucleotides. RefSeq lists it as uncharacterized. Lineage: Eukaryota; Metazoa; Cnidaria; Anthozoa; Malacalcyonacea; Nephtheidae. The transcript has 3 exons. The record is from RefSeq and is a predicted model, not a curated record.
AGUAUCCAUUUUCACUAAGAGAACCAAAUACUGAUGGUACCAUAUCUGCUAAAUAACUCUGAAAAUAGCAAGAAGGUUGCAAACACUACCAAACAGUGAAAUAAAGAUAUGAAACAUUAUCCCACUCAAAAAUAGAUUAUAGUCCAGAUGAAGAAUCGAAUUCACUGGUCCAUAAUAAAUACAGGCCGAAAUCCGUCGACGAAAGCUAGAUUCAAUGGUCGUGAAUUGUACAGUAUGUGUUAAAUAGUCUCUUAUCUGUUAGUUAUUGAAGUAAAACGUUUAUCAGCCAAGCUAGAAUGGUUCUGUCUUCGGUAUUCGUAUGAAUAAGUGUCAAUUAUUAAGUGCAGAAAAUUAAGUCCAAUUUUCAGCGUAUUUAAGGCGCUGCCGCGUUUAGAGCAUAUUGCUUUGAUUUUUUAGGUUUCCUUUGUUGUAAGCAAAGCUAGAAUAGCUUCAGCAUAGUAUUCGUAACGAUUUCUACUAAUUUGCAGAAGAAUUAGGUCCAAAUUUUCAGCGUUUCUAGCGAGUUUCCGUGCGGUUUGCAACGCCGGUGUUUUCAACUUUGUAGUCGCCGCCGCCGUUCAACUUUUAGAUCAUAUUGUUUAGUUUUUAAAGCUUUCAUAUAUUGUAAGCAAAGAUAAAGUAGUUCUGUCUGAGGAUUCGUAUAAAUUUGCAGAAGAAUUACGUCCAAAUUUUCAGCGUUUCUAGCGAGUUUCCAUGCAUGCAUGUGCGUGUUUGCAACGCCGGUGUCUUUUUUAACUGUUGUAGUUGCCGCCGUUUAACUUUUAGUUUUAGAGCAUAUUGUUUAGUUUUUCAAGCUUUCUUAAAGUGUAAGCAAAGAUAAAGUAGUUCUGCCUGAGUAUUCGUACCAAUUUGCAGAAGAAUUAGGUCCAAAUUUUCAGCGUUUCUAGCGAAUUUAUACUUGUGCAUGUUUUUGCGACGCCGGUGCUGGUGUUCUUUUUUAAUUAAACUGUUGUAGACUUGUAGUCGCCACCGUUUAACUUUUAGAGCAUAUUGUUUAGUUUUUCCAGCUUUCUUAUAUUGUAAGCAAAGAUAAAGUUGUUCUGUCUGAGUAUUCGUAUAAAUUCGUAGAAGAAUUAGGUCGACAUUUUCAGCGUUUUUAGCGAGUUUCCAUGUGUGUUUGCAACGCCGGUGUUUUUCAACUUUGUGGUCGCCGCCGUUCAACUUUUAGGACAUUUUGUUUAGUUUUUAAAGCUUUCUUAUAUUGUAAGCAAAGAUAAAUUAGUUCUGUCUGAGUAUUCGUAUAAAUUUGCAGAAGAAUUAUAGGUCCAAAUUUUCAGCGUUUCUAGCGAGUUUCCGUGCGUGUUUGCAACGCUGGUGUUUUUCAACUUUGUAGUCGCUGCCGUUCAACUUUUAGAUCAUAUUGUUUAGUUUUUAAAGCUUUCAUAUAUUGUAAGCAAAGAUAAAGUAGUUCUGUCUGAGAAUUCGUAUAAAUUUGCAGAAAAAUUACGUCCAAAUUUUCAGUGU